Molecule: long non-coding RNA, 892 nt
Organism: Mus musculus (house mouse)
Lineage: Eukaryota; Metazoa; Chordata; Mammalia; Rodentia; Muridae
Product: RIKEN cDNA 4930547H16 gene
Exons: 2
Source: RefSeq, marked validated
GGGAGACUGAGGAUGUGUUGCCUGCUGCAUGACCUGCAAGUGAAGCUGUGGGCUUACAAGGCCUCAGUGACACCCACCAAGGGACUUGCCAUGAUGAGACUCGAUCCUGGGCAGACUGAGCAGAUGCUGGGUCCUGUGGAUGUGACAUGGAACGGAUGUCACCUUCAGUCUUCUGCAGCAUCCAAAGUCCUGCAAUAUUCCUGGAGCCAGUGACAUCCUGUGAAAACUCAUGGAAGUCUCUGGAAAGAAGAAGCUCAGAAUUUACCGAGUUUGUCAGUGACCACAUGAUCAAUUCCACCCCACAGAAUCUAAAGAAUAAGACCCUUGGCUUCAGCAAGGGACACGGGUAAAUCCCACACUGGUGUCCUGGGACAGUGAAGGCCAAGUGUUGUGGUACCGCAGCUGGGACUGGGCUUUCGAUCUAUCCCGGACUUAUUUAGCUUUAUAUAAGCCUUACCCUCUUUAUAUAAUCCUUGGACACCCAUGGAGGCAGCUUUGCCUUUGAGGGGUCAUAUGACAAUAUCUGGGAAUAUUUUUCUUACCUUUGGGUGUGUGACUACUGACAUCUCAACGUUAGGGCCCGGGGAUAUGAUGAACACCCUGCGACACACAGGACAAGCUCCAUCGUGCAAUGUGCUCUGACUCAAUGGCCAGUACUAAGAGACAGUUGGCUGUAAGCCCCAAAGAUUCAGCUUCUAGAUUUCCGAAAUAUUGUCAUAUUCCAAAUUCGUUCAUACAAGCUAAUCAUGCUAGCUCCCAUAUUUCAAUAAUUAUAUCUUAGAGACCAAAGUAGGACAUUUGAGAUAAUGCAUACAGAGAGGGUUGGGGGGAGGCAAUACAGAAUCAUUCACUUUCUGGGCGGCUUUCAUUAAAUUUGGAUGAAUUUAUCACA